UACAGAGGUCUCAAGCGUUGUUCGGAUUUAUUGGGCGUAAAGAGCGUGUAGGCGGUUCGGUAAGUCUGUCGUGAAAUCCUGAGGCUCAACCUCGGGCGUGCGAUGGAUACCGCCGGGCUAGAGGAUGGUAGAGGCGAGUGGAAUUCCCGGUGUAGCGGUGAAAUGCGCAGAUAUCGGGAGGAACACCAGUAGCGAAGGCGGCUCGCUGGGCCAUUCCUGACGCUGAGACGCGAAAGCUAGGGGAGCGAACAGG
This 253-nucleotide ribosomal RNA is filed under the name uncultured bacterium. Its description in RNAcentral is "partial 16S ribosomal RNA". It matches the Rfam family "Bacterial small subunit ribosomal RNA", at positions 524 to 776 of the family's 1533-position model. The record is from RNAcentral.